GUCAACAGAUCGCAGAUAAACAUCCGGAUGUGACAGUGAUCAGCUGAUCGUGAAUAAUGUUGGUCACGUAAAUAACUACGCUGUUCAUUUUGAUACAAAAUGUGGGUGAAACCGGAGGAAGUGCUCAUUUCGGGCGGGUUCUGGGACACAGAGGUUGCCAACACAUACUUUCUGCUGCAGCAUCGGAAGGGGGCAGGUCAUGGGUCUCGAGGCUUUGCAGGGAUCCUGGUGGGAACGUUGGACUCUGUUUUCGAUACCAAGCCGCCCCCAUAUCGAAUUUUACAUCAGACUCCUUCCGCAGAGUUGUAUUACAUUGUCGCAGUCUCUCUGAAGAAGGAAGAGAUUGAUGAAAAUUGGGUGUGGUUGGAGAGGAACCUCAUGACGAUUUUGGCGACGUUCGACAACGACGAAGAUGUGACGGAUUUCGUCCGUUGUAAAAUUGAGUCGUUGGUUGCCAAUUCUACGGUCACGGAUCCUCAUAGUACGCCAGAUCCUGAUUCAGAGACUUUCAAGGCAGUCUCUCAUAAGUUCAAGAAGUUAUUCAAUUUGCCUGAUGGCGAAAAACUGGUGAACUACUAUUCUUGCAGCUAUUGGCUGAACCGUCUUCCUCGCCAAGGGUGGCUAUACUUGAGCGUCAAUUAUCUUUGCUUCUACUCGUUCCUCCUGGGCAAAGAGACGAGGGUCAUCGUGAGAUGGAGGGACGUCAUCCUUCUGGACUGCACCAACGCUCUCAUUUUCCCCGACAGCAUCCGAGUCUCGACUCGAGACCAUGAGCACUACUUCUCCAUGCUACUCAGAAAGAAGGAAACUUAUGAGUUGAUGGAACAGUUGGCAAACAUGGCAAUGAAACAAUUAAUAAAUGAUGAAGAAUUCACUGAAGACAAAGAAUUGCUAACUAAAGUCAGUAAGAAAAUUCCCAAGAAGGCAUCUUUCCUGAAGAGAGACCUGGAUGCCAGAGCUCAUUCUGAUAUGUACCGCAGUAAAUUCAGGUUACCUCUUAGUGAGAAGUUGGAUGGAUCGACUACCUGUUUUCUCUGGGCCCCUUAUAAGAAGUCCUACAUCAGUGGAACCUUGUAUGUCUCUCCAAAUUAUAUCUGUUUCGAUAGCAAGAUUGCCAACCUGGUCAGCAUCGUGUGUCCCUUACGAGAAGUGCUGAGUGUGGAGCGCAUAGACAACAUCAAAGGAAACAGCUCGGUUAAACGGGCGCUGUUCCUCUGCACCACCCAGAGCAGUUCGAGCAAUUCGUUUCUUUUCAACGACGUCGGAGACAGGGACUUCGUCAUAAGGAAGCUUUCCGAGAUGCUGGGAAGAACCAUCCCGACAAAGAAUUGCGAGAUGAAUGUAUUUUUCGUUUUUAGUGCUUUACCGGAUAACAUCGGCAGAAAACCUGGAACGCGCAGCAACUCCAUUAGCGAGGAGAAGGUUGAAUAUUCAAGUCCGACCUCACAAAGUUCUCCUGGCAGCCAGGAAAAUGGAGUCAGCAGCAGCUCGGAGUGUCUGGAAGCUGAAACUAUCAUGUUGCCGUUGAGGACGCUGUGUAUAGGACCUGAGGAAGACCUCGAGGAGGGAGAGCACGAUAAACGGAAGCUAGCUCUUUGGGAACGACACUGGAAUGAGUAUGGUAGAGGCGUCACAAUGUACAGAACGGUAGAAACGGCGCGACUUGUUUUGGAAGGGUUACCGGACGAUAUUAGGCCUGAGGUGUGGAUGAUAUUUUCAGGGGCCAUAAAUGAACAGGCGAUGAACCCCUCACACUAUGAGCAAGCUGUGGUUGCUGGACUGCAAAGGGGUGGCCCAGCGAAUGACGAGAUCGAGAGGGACCUCCACCGGUCGCUUCCAGAGCAUCCUGCCUUCCAGAGCGAAACGGGAAUUUCUGCUCUCAGACGUGUGCUCUGUGCCUACGCGUGGAGGAAUCCUGCGAUAGGAUAUUGUCAAGCAAUGAACAUUGUAGCGUCCGUUCUCCUAGUAUACUGUAAUGAAGAAGAAGCAUUCUGGCUGCUGGCGGCACUAAGCGAACGCCUUCUUCCGGAUUAUUACAACACCAAGGUAGUUGGGGCCUUAGUCGAUCAGGGAGUCCUGGAAGACCUCAUUCUAGAUCACCUACCUGAUCUUCACGCCAAACUUUCGCGGCUCGGAAUCAUAUCUUUGAUAUCUCUGUCUUGGUUCUUGACCCUCUUUUUAAGUGUGAUGCCCUUCGAAGCAGCAGUUCACGUGGUCGACUGUUUCUUUUACGACGGUGCCCGUGUGAUCUUCAUGGUGGCCCUUGCUAUCUUGAAUGCCAACAAAGAUGUUCUUGAAAAGUGUGAUGAUGAAGGGGAAGCCAUGAUGAUAUUAUCCGAGUAUUUGAGCUCGAUCACUGCUGCGAAGUUGAGGUACGGGAAGCGCAAGGCCAGCGUCAGUGAAGAAGCCGUAACUUCCGAAGGGGCCGAGGCAUCUGUGAACAUUACUGAUAUUAUUGAAUCCGGGUACAAAAACUAUGGAUUCAUUACAAACGUAGCUAUUGAGAGGUUACGAGUAAAGCAUCGCCUUCGUGUUGUACAGUUGCUCGAAGAUACUGCUAUGAAGAACACGCUGCGUACAGUGGGACCUGAUUGCUUGCUGAAUGAAGAGGAUUUACGAGAGUUAGUCGCAUACGUUCGAGCAGAACAGAUUCUAGGAGCAGACGACAAGGAGGUUAGACAGCGCAGUAUGUCUGGGAAUCAGCUGGGCCAAGAAGGAUACGGGCUUGGUUACGAGACUUUUCGUCAGCUGUUCUUGGCUGCUUCUCCCUGGGGUCAGGGAGACAGAGCGGAUUCCCUUGUCACGAGCAUGUUCAACAUGUUAGAUGUUGACGGCUCUCACAUGCUCAGUUUCCGAUCUGUCGCUUGGCUGUACGGCGUAUUGUGUGUUGGAGAUUUUGCAAGAAAGCUCCGCUUAUUUUAUUACUUGCAUCUAGCCUUUCCACCGAGUCUGGAUGAUGUGGACAGUGUGAAAAGGGAGGAAGUGGAAGAAGAAGCUGCGGUUGAGGCUGAAGAAUAUUUCGAUGUCAUUGAGGAGGACUUUGGCAAAGGCAAGCUGGAUCUUAGUAUAUCUGAUGAGGAGAAGGUCUCUGCCAAUAAUUCUCCUAAGAAAGGUAAUGCUUACAAAGAUGAGCUGACCGGUCUGGCCACCAUCCACAAUCGGGAUUAUCGCAAAUAUGAGCAGCGCUUCUUGCCGCCCAUGAAUCAGGAGCAGUUCAUCAACAUGUGGAGGACUGUCUACAGUUUCUUUGCCCUGGAAACGAACCAGGAAAUCUUCACCUCACUUUCGAGAGUUGGAACGUUACUUCUACAAAUUGGUGAGGUGGGAAGAAGAGUUAAAGAAUGCGCCUCAAGGAGCAUCAGUGAAAGUGCAACACCUACUGACAGCAGUGUCAACACAGAUACAAGUUCAGAAUCAUCCAAAAAGGUGUCUGCACUUGAUUCUCCCAUGCCUUCAGAACUUGCCGGUGCGUGUACUCAAGCACCAGAGAAGUUAUUGUCGACGGACGAGACCGAGAGAAAGGCACGAGAACUAGAAGUGUCUCACCUCAUGAAUGUUCCCGGUGCCGAGUACAGUCUGCAAAAGUCACCGGAUGACGAGAGCAGUGACAAAGAGACGGACAGUGUGUCCAGUGCUUCUAACAUUCACUCGUCUUCUUCUGUGUCUCAUUCUGAACUAGAGUGGAGCAUUUCUUUUGAACAGUUCUUAGCGAACGUAGCCAACGAAGAGAGAUUGGUGAACUUCUUUGAAAGAUCGUUUAGUCUAGCCGAAGAGGUGCAAAAGCUCAGGAAACGGCAGGCGGUUAGCACGAACGGGAAUUUCUCCACGGCCACCACUCCUUCCUAACUGAUUGUUUACGUAAUGGGUAGAAAGAUCUGUAUUGUAUGUUGGUAAUGGAAGACAUACUACUUUAGGUGACGUGACAUAAAGACACUCGGCAGUUUUCACGAAAACUUUUUAUACUUGUGACUUAGAAAUAAGGCAGUUUAUCAUUCCUUGUAUAUUACUGUAGUUUUAGUGAUGUUUUACAUAAAGCAUAUAUUUCAUAGUUGUGGGAAAAUCACUUUGGUGUUUUAAAAGAGCCAUAAACUGGCAGUGCAAAAACUUUUAGUCAUGUUGACCAUGGCAGUUGCUCAAGGCAUUGGGUCUGUUUUAGACGUGGUGUAAUGCAGUAACCUUCUGAUGAAUAAACGUAAUUCAUUCGAGAAAAACAAAGCUGGAUUUGUAUAACUGUAUGUAGUAUAGUAUUUGUUUUAGUAUUGCGUGAUUUGAGUUGAUUUUAUGAAACUUUUCAAGCCAAGCACUGAGGCACUUUAUUCAGUGGCCAAGACAGCCGAAAGAGGGAGUUGGAGAGAAUGGACAGCAGGAGAAGAGAUCCAGAGAAUAAAGAUAAGGACCUAUGAGUGGAACUGGGAGAAACCCCCACUGUUGCACCGAGAAGUAAUAGUCAUAGGUUGGACAGCAAAACAGAAGAACGAAAGCGGGGAUGGAGGUAAAGUGAAAGGCUAAAAACUAGGUGCAGCUAGGGGCCAAAAGGAUAAUGCAAAGACCCUUUAGUAAUGCCUACUGUUCACCAUGUGAAGUGGACAGAUGGCACCAUCCCCCCCCCACAGGGGUUAGUAUUGCGACAGUUUGCAAAUUGAUUUAUGUGAAUUCUUGUAAUAAUAUACGGUAUGCUGUAGGCAUUAUGUUUAUUGGGUUUUGGUUAUACAUAAUUCAUAUCACUAUCCUUACUUUCCUCUAUAUUCUUCUAGAACAGAACGCAUAGAAGAACAGCCCUCAAAUUAUUGGUACCUGAGAGAAUGCGGAUGUUCUUGCCAGAAUAAAUUGGAAGGGUUGCUUAUGGUAAUUAAUUUUCUUGUAUGCAUUAUCUGCUAUGUUUAUCUUUUAGCAUUAGAAGACUUCAACAAAAGACCCAUCAUGUGUAAGACACCUUUUCUAUAAAUCUUAUCAAUUUUCUGUCCAGUAGUUUCUUGGUCUUCCUCUCCACCUCCCCCUCAACACUAUUACACUCAUUUUGCACAUCUUUCUUCCACCAUUCUCCUCUGACGACCAAACCAGCUGAACGCAUACACUGAUCCAUCUUUUUAAUAUGCUAGCCUUUAUGCAAGCUCUUCACAUUUCCACAUAAUAUUAUGCCUAGUAUUUAGUUCUUAAUCUACAGACAUUGUGCAGACAAUUCACCUCACCUGCUUCAGCUUUUCAGUAAUCCCUUUAUAAUUCCAGAGUUUGCAUCUGAAGACUGUAUUCUUUCAAUUUUUUACCCACAUCCAGCUACCUUUCUGAAUUUUCCUCUUCUCAGCUCUUGAUUUUCUCUAGUUCUGCCGUCAUCAGCUACAUUUUACUCCAAAAGGCCUGUACGAUACAUGUAUGUACACCUAAAUACAGUGCCUGUAUAAAUUUCUUCUUUUAUUAUUCCAUCUUCCACAUCUAUAUUUGCUACUUCAGUUUCCUGGUUUCCAUUUAUCCUCAUGACCUUACUCUUGCAAACACUUUCAAGUUCUUCUAGUUUCUUGCUACUAGUAUUCCCAAUCAGUACUUGGCAUCAUCUGCAAACAUUAGUACCUCAGUGGCGUGGUCGGUAUGGUGUUGGCGUGCCACCUCGGUGGCCGCGAGUUCGAUUCUCGGGCAUUCCAUUGAGGGGUGAGAGAUGUGUAUUUCUGGUGACUGAAGUUAGCAAAUAGCCUUGGAGACAAAAGACACCCUCAUCGUAGUCCCACUUCGACACCAAACCAGUCGCUUUCUCAUAUUCUCAUAUAUUUGAACAUACUUUCCUUUCAUGAUAAGAAUAUGAAUCAUUCUUAAAAGAUGACCUUCUACAUCACACUCCUGUAUGUUGUCUUUUGAAAGCGUGUCAACAGAGACGGCAUUUACAGAAAUUUUCCUUCACUCUCAAACUUCUCUCAUAAGUGUUUCAUUACAAGCAUUUGAUCCACCUAUAUUAUCUAUCUUUCAUCGACCUUAAUGGUUGUUACUGUACACUUGUGUUAUGCCUGUUAAGUCUUACAGUUAUCUGUAUCAUCUAUAUCCUAACAUAAUUUAGCUUAGUCCCUCUUCUGUCCACCACAUUUAAUCUAUAUAAUACAGCAACAAUUCCAAUAAUUUGUUAAGCAAUUGGUUGGGAAAUAUAUUAUUCAUUAGACUUUGGAAAUAGUUCCCUUUUUAAUGUAUGUACAUAAUUUCAUUUCUAAUUCUAGUUUGUUCAGACUGAAGAUUUUGGCCCACUGUGGCCUGUUCAGUUCCAUUUGGCUUUCAGGAUGAUUCUAGAUAGACAACUUGGGUGGGUGACAUCAUUGAGUGGAAACAUGGCGGCCUCUCCCAUGAUACUUACUGCUGUCCUGUAUUUGAGGUAGACAUAUGAAGUGUAUCUGUCAAUAAAUGAAAUUUUCUUGGAAAAUACAGUGAUUCCAAGCGUUUAAGUUGACUAGACUGAGUGGUAGACUUUCGUACUAUUGACUCUGGUGGUGAGAAGGAGUUUCAUGCUGUAAGGAAACUAUCCAUAAGUGUUGUGAGAUUCGUGUUACGCUUGUGUACCAAGUUGGCCUAUACUAACUCUAUAGCUAAUGUGGAAAGGAAGGUGUUGAUGGAAGACGAAAGGAAUCUCAGUCACAAACCAAUGGAAAGGGAGGAAAAGCCAACGCAAGCAGGGCUGGACAAAUUGGAAAUGAAGUGGUCCCUGGACUCUAAAAUGGAAGCUGAUUCAAGAACUGCUUGACAUUGAGGAGGCAAAAAUUUCUUGACAAGAAACUGAAAUGUACAGAGCUACAAGCCUUCUCGGAUUGAUGAUGGUGAGAAAUGGCCUCGGACAACUAAAUAGAAUGUCUGCUAAAGGUUUAUGAAGCUUUUACUUCACUAUGAAUUGAAGCAUUGACUAAUUUACACCCUGGAAGAACUUGUCUUUAAAUGUCAAGGAUAUGUGAGUAUGGUAAAAAUGUUUGUGGGCAAAUUCAAGACCCCGAGGACAUUGAAAAUGUGGGACUUUUGGCAGUAUGACAGUGCACAUUGAGACCACCUAACAACCACAGGACCCUCAGUCUGGUGGCACCUUGGCAAUGAAGGCUAACCUUCACAGGGAGGAUCUCCCUUUAGACUCCCAAGUUUUUCUUUUUGGACCUUCAAACUAGCAAAUGGUAAUAUUUGCAAAUGUGUCCUCUUUAAAUCAGGCCAUGGAUCAAGGAGUCGUCCAGAAAUCUAAAAGUGAAUUCCUUCCUCUCUGUUCCAGAGGGUGAGUUAUCUGUACAUGGCUGCUAUGAUGUGGAAUGAUUGGAAUGAUAUGAAGAGGUUGUCCAUACAAAGUUCAUAGCAGGAAUUUUGGCUUGAUACUACUUUGCUCCUGGAAGGUGAAGAUGAUAAAAGAGGAUUUAGUGGGCUUCUUUUAAGAUGAUGAAUAAACUGCUUGGGAUGCCUGAUAAAAGCUCACAGAGCAGGAUAUUGUGGAAUACGGCCAACAAGAUGAUGCAUUUGUGGUUUUGCAGUUAAUGGAGAAAUAGAAGGAAGGCAGUAGACUUGGGAGGAAGAAACAAAGAUAAGAAACAAAUAUUCCCAUGCAAAGUGGCCCCAUUCUCCAAACUGAUGAACAGGAGAAGAAAGGUGAGUGACAAGUUCCAGUGUAGUGUUCUCUUGAAGUGUUGUAAGUUGUGGUUGCGUUACGCCAGUGUAUAUUUAGACAUUAUAUUUUGGUAAGGAAAACUUUGAUUGUAAGUAAUGUAACAGCAGAAAUAAGCCUCACAAACUGCUAAGGCAGGUGACUUGAUUAACCAGCAUAGAAUACUGUAUCAUUUGGCACGGGAUCAACCCCAAAUUGCGUGAAUAAUAUGACUUUCCCUUGAUUCACUCCAUCGAUACACGACUGGAUUCCUUUCAGGGAGCGUUUAAGAUGUAUUUCCGUUUUCUCUCUCCAUUUGUUGGAGAACUUUUCAUCCUGAAUUAUUUAUGCAUUUACUUUAUGUCCCUCCUACUUCUCAGUCCAACUCCUUUAUUGUUGCUUUGUUCCAACAUCCACCUUGUUUAAGAACAGAGACUUCGGAAACCCUGAAUGAGUUAAUUAUUUUUUCAUAUCUACCCUCAGAUUUUAUAUCUCGGUUUUUCUCGACUCACUUUGGUCUUGGAAGCUGCUGCAAAAUCAUCUCUUGUCUGCUAAUGACUUUCAGAUAGUAAUCUCAUUUUUCCCUUUAUUUAUAGUCUUAAGUUCAUCCUACCACCAGUGAACUGCAUUUAUUAAUACUUCCUCCCCUCCUAUACACACAACCUCUCCUUGCCGAGUCUGUGAUCUCAUUCUUUGAUUACUGUACAGUACACUUUAAUAUAUUUAACUUAUGUCCAUAGGUUAUCCAGGAUCAUAUAAGUUAGACUUACCUCGUAGUCAAACUGUUUGUUUUGAUGAUAUAUAGUGAACCCCCGUAUUUAUAGACUUGUGUUCGCGGAUUUCUCUCUGGAACAUAUACCCCAAAGUCCCCCAUUAUUUACAGAAAAUUCGCCUAUUCGUGGUAUUUUUCCAUGAGAAAUAUCCACAAAUUCCUGGUUUUUUAUAUAAAUUUUAACAUAAAAUGCAUUUUUUGUGAUAAAACUAUUAAAAAAACUAGGUAUAAACAUUUGUACUGGUUUUAUCUUGAGUUUUACCUAACAAAAUGUGCAGUUUUAAGCAUUUUUAUAGGGGUUUCAACUAUUUGCGGGUUCUGACUAUUCACAGGGGCUCUGGCACCCAUCCCCUGCGAAUAAUGGUUGGGGGGGGGACACUGUACAGCCUUGUUUUCAUCCUUUACUCCAGUUCAAAUUAUCAAUCAAUGUCGACAUUUCCUCCAGCUAGUGAAUGAUCUUAUAUACCUCCACUUUCAACCAAGUAAUGAUCAUAUAUACCUCCAACGACACUCAUUACAACUACUACGUCCAUUAACUUGCUCUUCCGUCGUAAGUGUAUUACUGUAGCAUACUUUGUUGCUACACAUUAUACAAACCAUCAGUCCUUUACAUAAAGAAUUACUUUUAGCGCCAGCUGGAACCAAUUCCUUAUGGAAAGGACCUCAGGUUUGUAUAGCUAAGAAAAAUACAAUUUACUUUCAAAAAUUGUGAUUUUUCUGUGCCAUUUUCUCGUUCUUAAGUAUACUACAGUGGACCCCCCGUAUUCGCGUUCUCCGGAUUCGCAGACUCACACAUUUGCGGAUUUCUCUCGGGAACGUUUCCCCGCAUUAAUUGCGGAAAAUUCGCACAUUCGCUGUAUUUUUCUAUGGGAAAUAUCCACAAAUUCCUGGGUUUUUUUUUAUCAAUUUCAUCAUAAAAUGCACUUUUUGUGAUAAAACUAUUAAAAAAACCAAGUAUGAAAAUUUUUAGUGGGUUUUUCUUGAGUUUUAACAAACAAAAUAGGCUGUUUUUAGCAUUUUUAUAGGGGUUCCAAACAUUUGCGGGUUCUAACUAUUCAAGGGGGUGUCUGGUACGCAUCCCCUGCGAAUACGGGGGACCACUGUACGUACAUACUUCUGAAUACUACUGAAUUAUACUUUGGAAACCAAUUAUAAUACUGUCAAUAACUAAUCCUGCAUAACUGAAAUAAACAUAUUUUUGGUCACAGACAAAGACAAAUGAAAAUAGAUGAAUGCAAAUCCUUUAUUAUACUUGACUUCAAAAACUAUUGUAGGCUUCAGAAACUUAUUGUAUCAGUUUAUAUAAGGACAAAAACUUAUUACGGUAUAUCAGUACAUAAUAUAAGGACUUUUAUGAUAUCUGUACGUAAGGACAUGUUAUACAUUCAGUUAGAAGACAUGAGAUUGGUACAAUAGGCAUCUUCAAAGUUUACUGACUUUGUACUGGCUGUAAUACUGCAUUCUUAAUGCCAUUCCUGUUCUUACAUUAUUUUUCAUUUAGGUAUUAAAUUCUAUGUUCUUUUGUUCAAGUAAUCUCUCUCCUCUUACACAACUGGAAAGUGAAUGACAGUCGUAAAGAAGUUUAUGAAUAGUACAUAUUGCAUUUAUUUACUACGACUGAUUUUAAUAAAAACUCAUAUUUCCACGUGCAUACACAUUCAACAUCUGUGUCCUGUAGCUUGCUCGAGAUGUUUCCAAAACCAGGGAGUUAUGAAGGGUACGAGGUGUUCUUAUCAGUUACAAAUUUAGGAAAUGAAAAGAAAGCCUUUUUUUUUUUCUUUUUUUUUUUGUAUUCUGCAUUCACAUUUUUACUUGCAAUUUCUCUUAGUUAAUAAGUUUUAUUCCUCUCUCCCCGAUUGUAAUGAACCCCAUUAUGCAUGGUCUAGGUCAUUUCCUAAUGUCAAAGGCACAUUGAAGGAGUUAAAAUAUAGCUGUAAAAUUUAAACACUAUGACCUGUACAUGUGACAGAUCACUGAAUGAUCUACUGAUUCUGUUGUCUAAUAAUGAUUAAAUUUUAGUUUUCCAGUUCUAUUUUAUGUAACAUUUAUUGUUUUUUUCUUAUCUGAGUUAUAUCAAUGAAAUUGUUUAUGAUUAGAAUCUAGUAAUUCGUAAAAAGAUUCAGUCAUCAGUCUACAUAAUUAAUUCACAAUUGUGGUACUAAUGGUUUCCCCACGGCCAUCUUGAGUGUUUAUUGACGUGUUCCAAAUUGAAGGUGAUUACAGUUAUACGUAUUAAUACACAACUGGAUUAAUGUGGUUAUUUUCUCUGGUUGCAGUGGAAAGUUGUGUGUGUGUGUUAUUGCAACAGCAAUAUAAUGCGAACGUGUGAUAAGAAUGACUGCACAUCCAAACUAAUCGUGUUUGAUUGAAAGGGAAAGUCGUUUGAUUUUGCUAUGAGUACCUUUGUUUGACAGUUUUUGUGGAGUCACCUUUUUGAUGAGAUCAUUUUCGUAAAAAUGGUCAGAAUCACCGGAUAGUCUCCAUCGAGCAUUUAAAACUUGCACGGGACCAAAUGGACAUUUCUACCUAGCUUUCAAACCGAGAACCAUCGCACUAUCACACACAGAUCUUUGGUGCAGAAAUCUUAGGAGGUCCAUAGUGACUGACAGUUCCAGCGAGCCACCCAGUACCUUCUGUAGGUAAAACCAUCUCCUGCACCAUGAUAAAAACCAGAACUCUAAUCUUGCCAAGCUCACUGGAUUUAAAUGGGUCUGAUGAUGUGUAUUUAACAAAAAUCAAACCCAUUUUGAAAAAUACUCAAUGUGAAUUUUAAAUUGUCUUCACAUUGGCCUUUCCUUCCAGCUUAUGAACAUCAAUUGGCUGUUGCUCGAAAUGAAUCGGUCCCCCCGGUGUGGCGCAUUUGGUGUAAACCAGCAGUGGAAUUGGACGUGAAAGUUCCAAGUCCCAAAAGUGAGAAAUUUUGAAAAAAACGCGGAUACCUUGGUGAAAUAAUUUAUAUCAACAGUGCCAUAGCAGUACUGGUCAGUCAUGCAAAAUACAUUUAAAGAAUCUACUGGAUAAUGUAUAUAUAUGUAAUGAAAGGGUGUCCCCAUGCAGUCAUAAAUAACUUUUAACUAGAGAAGUUUGAGCACAGCAAAUCAUAACCUUGUGGAUGUCACAUACCUUCCCGAACCUCAGACUGAAUACAGGCAGUCCUCGGCGUACGACGUUCUGAGGUUACGACGCUUUUCAAUUAUAUUCGUCAGAAAUUAUUUCCAGGUUUAUGAUGCACGUUCCAGGGUUACAGCACUUAAGGCGCUGAUCUGACGGAAAAAUGUGACUCCAAUAAUGCAAAAUAAUCAAUAUUUGAAGUUUUUUUAUGAAAAAUGCAAUAAAAAUGCAGUUUA
This is an RNA transcript of Macrobrachium nipponense, 11704 nucleotides long. It is a transcript of the gene named TBC1 domain family member 9-like, with no coding region annotated. The transcript is spliced from 25 exons. The record is from RefSeq and is a predicted model, not a curated record. Lineage: Eukaryota; Metazoa; Arthropoda; Malacostraca; Decapoda; Palaemonidae.